AACUUUCAACAACGGAUCUCUUGGUUCUGGCAUCGAUGAAGAACGCAGCGAAAUGCGAUAAGUAAUGUGAAUUGCAGAAUUCAGUGAAUCAUCGAAUCUUUGAACGCACAUUGCGCCCCCUGGUAUUCCGGGGGGCAUGCCUGUUCGAGCGUCAUUUCACC
Molecule: ribosomal RNA, 161 nt
Filed under: Cladosporium sp. MA 4674
Lineage: Eukaryota; Fungi; Ascomycota; Dothideomycetes; Cladosporiales; Cladosporiaceae
Description: 5.8S ribosomal RNA
Rfam family: 5.8S ribosomal RNA
About the family: 5.8S ribosomal RNA (5.8S rRNA) is a component of the large subunit of the eukaryotic ribosome. It is transcribed by RNA polymerase I as part of the 45S precursor that also contains 18S and 28S rRNA.
Source: RNAcentral